This 281-nucleotide ribosomal RNA is filed under the name Aliivibrio sp. RNAcentral describes it as "partial 23S ribosomal RNA". It matches the Rfam family "Bacterial large subunit ribosomal RNA", at positions 1 to 277 of the family's 2925-position model. Lineage: Bacteria; Pseudomonadati; Pseudomonadota; Gammaproteobacteria; Vibrionales; Vibrionaceae. The record is from RNAcentral.
GUUGUAUGGUUAAGUGACUAAGCGUACACGGUGGAUGCCUUGGCAGUCAGAGGCGAUGAAAGACGUAUUAACUUGCGAUAAGCCCAGAUUAGGUAGUAAAAACCAUUUGAGUCUGGGAUUUCUGAAUGGGGAAACCCACGUGCAUAAGCACGUAUCAUGCAGUGAAUACAUAGCUGUAUGAGGCGAACUCGGGGAACUGAAACAUCUAAGUACCCGAAGGAAAAGAAAUCAAUUGAGAUUCCGGCAGUAGCGGCGAGCGACCCCGGAUUAGCCCUUAAGCG